UACAAGAAAUCUACAGAAUCCAUUUCUUAGCGUAAUAUUGCUUAGUGAGGAUCCAUGUUCUGAAAUGAUGAGAUGUGAAAGAAACUGCCUCAUUUCCUUUGAAGAUAUUGCUAUACCAGUUUACACUGAUCAGUUUUGUUUUGGCUUGUACUUUUGAGUAAAUAGGCUACUUUCUUAAGUUUGACCUGUGUCUGCCUCUGUGACCCGAUUCCUCUCUCUUCUGCAUCUCCUAGCCUCCACAACUUCAAAGAAUGCAUGCAAACUCCUAGGCCAAAGGAUGAAAUCAAUUCUGCGGGUGUCAAAUUAGUGAUGCAUGUGAAAACUCUUUGAACAGGAUGAGGAUCUAUGCAAACUCAAGACAGUUGUCCAGAUCCAUUCAUUAAAACCUGUUCUCUUUCCAUACCGCCGUAAUUCCAAGCCUUUGCACAGCAGAUCUCGAUAACCUUGUUUUACAAAUGGGUAUUUUCAGUAUGCAAAGAAUCACUUGGAGGAAAAGAGAUGAGUAGGGUCUGAAACCAAUACAG
Delphinapterus leucas (beluga whale) is the source of this 524-nucleotide non-coding RNA. Lineage: Eukaryota; Metazoa; Chordata; Mammalia; Artiodactyla; Monodontidae. The record is from RefSeq and is a predicted model, not a curated record.